RNAcentral lists this non-coding RNA (180 nucleotides) under Parasulfuritortus cantonensis. RNAcentral's name for it is "6S / SsrS RNA". It matches the Rfam family "6S / SsrS RNA". From Rfam's summary of the family: E. coli 6S RNA was the first non coding RNA to be sequenced, but its function was unknown until recently. The record is from Rfam by way of RNAcentral. Lineage: Bacteria; Pseudomonadati; Pseudomonadota; Betaproteobacteria; Nitrosomonadales; Thiobacillaceae.
UGAGCCCUGCUGCGUACGCGAGGGUCGCGGAUUCUUUGAACCGAUGCGUCUUACGCAUGGAGCGGUUAUCUUCCGGCGGGUGUGCGCGUGGCCAGUUCCAUGUACCCGAAGCCGAUGUGCCGCACCGUCUUGAACCCCUGGGUUCAGGAUUGCGGCCCGGACGACGCCCGCGGGGCUCAC